UUGGAGGGCAAGUCUGGUGCCAGCAGCCGCGGUAAUUCCAGCUCCAAUAGCGUAUAUUAAAGUUGUUGCAGUUAAAAAGCUCGUAGUUGAAUUUCGGGGUUCUACCGUUGGUCGGGCUAUGUCUGUACUGGUGUGUAGAAUUUCUACCUUCUGGGGAACCAUCAUGCUAUUAAUUUAGCGUGGUGGGAAACCAGGACCUUUACCUUGAAAAAAUUAGUGUGUUCAAAGCAGGCUUAUGUCUGAAUACAUUAGCGUGGAAUAAUAGAAUAGGACGGUGGUCCUGUUUUGUUGGUUUCUGAAUCACCGUAAUGAUUAAUAGGGAUAGUUGGGGGCAUUAGUAUUCAAUUGUCAGAGGUGAAAUUCUUGGAUUUAUUGAAGACUAACUUCUGCGAAAGCAUUUGCCAAGGAUGUUUUCAUUAAUCAAGAACGAAAGUUAGGGGAUCGAAGACGAUCAAAUACCGUCGUAGUCUUAACCAUAAACUAUGCCGACUAGGGAUCGGACGAUGUUAAUUUUUCUUGACUCGUUCGGCGCCUUACGGGAAAC
Molecule: ribosomal RNA, 544 nt
Filed under: uncultured Glomeromycotina
Lineage: Eukaryota; Fungi; Glomeromycota
Description: SSU rRNA
Rfam family: Eukaryotic small subunit ribosomal RNA
Source: RNAcentral